RNAcentral lists this ribosomal RNA (253 nucleotides) under uncultured bacterium. RNAcentral's name for it is "partial 16S ribosomal RNA". It matches the Rfam family "Bacterial small subunit ribosomal RNA", at positions 524 to 776 of the family's 1533-position model. The record is from RNAcentral.
UACAGGGGGGGCAAGCGUUGUUCGGAAUUACUGGGCGUAAAGGGCUCGUAGGCGGCCAACUAAGUCACACGUGAAAUCCCCAGGCUUAACCUGGGAACUGCGUGUGAUACUGGAUGGCUUGAAUUCGGGAGAGGGAUGCAGAAUUCCAGGUGUAGCGGUGAAAUGCGUAGAUAUCUGGAGGAAUACCGGUGGCGAAGGCGGCAUCCUGGACCGACAUUGACGCUGAGGAUCGAAAGCUAGGGGAGCAAACGGG